UGCGUAGACGGGAAGUCAAGUUAGUUGUGAAAUCCUUCGGCUUAACUGAGGAACUGCAACUAAAACUGAUUUUCUUGAGUACUGGAGAGGAAAGUGGAAUUCCUAGUGUAGCGGUGAAAUGCGUAGAUAUUAGGAGGAACACCGGUGGCGAAGGCGACUUUCUGGACAGAAACUGACGUUGAGGCACGAAAGUGUGGGGAGCAAACA
Molecule: ribosomal RNA, 207 nt
Filed under: uncultured bacterium
Lineage: Bacteria
Description: partial 16S ribosomal RNA
Rfam family: Bacterial small subunit ribosomal RNA
Source: RNAcentral